AUUGAACGCUGGCGGCGUGCCUAACACAUGCAAGUCGAGCGGUAACAGGUGUAGCAAUACAUGCUGACGAGCGGCGAACGGGUGAGUAAUGCUUAGGAAUCUACCUUAUGGUGGGGAAUAACUAGCCGAAAGGUUAGCUAAUACCGCAUACGUCCUACGGGAGAAAGCAGGGGAUCGCAAGACCUUGCGCCAAAAGCUGAGCCGAAGUCGGGACAGACAGUUGGCAGGGUAACGGCCUACCAAGGCGGGGAUCCGUAGCUGGUCUGAGAGGACGACCAGCCACACUGGGACUGAGACACGGCCCAGACUCCUCCGGGAGGCAGCAGUGUGGAAUAUUGGACAAUGGGGGAAACACUGAUCCAGCGACGCCGCGUGUGUGAAGAAGGCCUGCGGGUUGUAAAGCACUUUUAGUGGGGAUGAAAUGUGCAGGGUUAAUACCUCUGCAUUUUGACCUAACCCACAGAAAAAGCACCGGCUAACUCUGUGCCAGCAGCCGCGGUAA
This 502-nucleotide ribosomal RNA is filed under the name uncultured bacterium. Its description in RNAcentral is "partial 16S ribosomal RNA". It matches the Rfam family "Bacterial small subunit ribosomal RNA", at positions 30 to 523 of the family's 1533-position model. The record is from RNAcentral.